CUUUGUGCCCCUUAGGAUUGCAAAAUAAUCUGGAAAUGCAAUACAUCCCCGGUCAGGACGACACAAGAUUCCUACAGGAUGUGAACAAGCCAACACCAGAGUCUCAGAGGAAUGAAAGGAAUUUGUUCUGGCCAGUAUCAGAACCUACAGGAACUGCAGAAAAGACCUGUAAACGGAUCAAAGCCUACGAGCUAAGCUAGACAACCCCACAGAACACGAAACCAGACAAGACCAGCCAGCCAGAUAGGUCAGGAGACACAAGCCAUGGGACAGAAGUCUUUACCACAAGAGACCUCUAUUCACUGAACCCUCCCAAAGAUGGAAAAAGACGUGCAGAGAGCAUACAUAUUGCCUGUGACUCAACACUCAAGAUUUAUGAAGAGCCCUGCAAACCUGUAAAAAAACCCAACUAACACACAGGAAAGUCUCACAGAAAAGGAAGGGUAACUGGCCAAAAUGUACAUGAUGGUCACUACACGGAAGACAAGAAGCCAUGACAGGGUUUGCUUAGCAAACUGGCCACCCUGGCUUCAGAGCACAGGGACAGGCACAGCAGCUUCCAUAGGACUCCCACUGGCUCCACGAGGCACCGCCCCAACAGUGAGAAAUGGGAAUCGUCCACAGGCAAAUGGAGGAAACCGCUAACUCUUUGCAAAGCACACUGCAGGGACCGAGACAGCACAAACACAACUCAUGGACCAACAAGCCUGUUCUCAGCAAACCAGAAAAACCCGAGGCCGCCCAAAGUGAGGACAUGCCACAGCAUGCCGUGCACACACUGCUGGAGCAGAAGCGUCUGUCUCUGGUGUGCUGCAUGGGUAUGGGCACAUGCACGGGUCUGUGUUCGCGUACACCUGUGCACAGCAGGUACAGGGUUAUGCACAGAGGGCACAGUCUGGCAUGAGCACAGCCUAUAGCUAUCUUCACUGUCACGACAGCUGCCCCGACCACACAGCAUAGGGUCCAAAGCCAGGACAGCGGGGGAGAUGACAAAAAAUUGGAAAAUAAUAAGAAAGAAGGCGGGCCGGGGAUUUAGUUCAGUGGUGCUAC
This 1050-nucleotide long non-coding RNA is filed under the name Heterocephalus glaber (naked mole-rat). RNAcentral describes it as "lncRNA (ENSHGLG00000050508.1)". The record is from RNAcentral. Lineage: Eukaryota; Metazoa; Chordata; Mammalia; Rodentia; Bathyergidae.